Molecule: long non-coding RNA, 210 nt
Filed under: Ananas comosus (pineapple)
Lineage: Eukaryota; Viridiplantae; Streptophyta; Magnoliopsida; Poales; Bromeliaceae
Description: long non-coding RNA (ACOM_LNC019969)
Source: RNAcentral
UUGAUCCAUUCAAUUGAAAUUAGUAUCACAAUCCAAAAACUCUCUUUCGAGUUUAUUUCGCGUCCAAUUUGCACCGAAACAUUCAAUUACUUUCCAAAAUCAUUCCCACACCUCCAGAAUUACUCGGGAAAGAUGCACAUCCAGUUCAAACUUCACUUUGAUCCCCUAAAUCAAGGUUAGCAUUGUAACCCGAAAAUUUCAGUAUAUUAC